CUCCGCCCCGUCCCGCACGGCCGUACACCGCUCCCUCGGGAGCGCGCGGCGCUGGGACCGCAGCCCGCGGUCCUUAAUAAACAGCCGAGCGACGGUGCGGAACGUGCUGCGUUCUUCUGGAGCGCGUUCCCGUCUCCUGACGCGCUCGGACGCCGAGGCGAUCCGCGGCCGAGGAGAGUCCCGUCGGUAGCGGACGUUGUAUGGUUCGGCCGUGCCGUCCCGGCUGAGCCGAGCGGGGCGGUGUCACUGCGGCCUCCCCCGGGGCUGCUGCCCAUGCACCCAAACGUGCUCGCAGUGACCUCGCGAAGGAGUCCUGAAGUGUGCGGGCAGGAAGAGGGCAACUGGGAAAUCGUGAGAGCCCUUACGGCUGCUGGGUGCCUCAGGGCGGCGUUGGGAAGAACGCGGCGUGAGUUUUCUUCCAGGGACAGCUGUCUCUGCAUCCAUAGAGCAAGGUGGGAAGAAAAUGGUGUUGCAAACACGGAUGCACAGAGCUUUGGUGGAGAUGGAGAUCCUUGAAUGGCCCUUGUUAGCAGAGGAGGAGCUUCCCUUGACCUUCCCACUCACUGACAGGACUCCAAGGAGAAGCGGGCAGGUGACGGUCACACCUGGACCACGCAAGCAAGAAAUGCACCUCACGUCAGCCCCUGACAUGGAAGCACUCAAUGAAGAAUUCCCCAUUGUUGGGAUUCUCCCUUCCCCUCCUUGAAGCGCCCAGCUCGAACCCCAGGACUGGGCUCAUCGUGCUGGAGGUGCGCUGGGUUCUCACCACAUGUCCCAUCCUGCCUUGUCUCCUCCAUGCAGAGCUUCUGCAGGGCAAGGAAAGCUCCCGGAGUCUUCUGGAUAAGUUGGGAGGGUUCAUCCAUUCAUUAGUGAAAGCUGGACGGAGCUGUCUGAAGGUCUGGAUGUGCAGCAAGGAAGAUAAGCAGAUUUGUUCACACAAUGGAUUCUGAGCUAUCUGAGUGAAAAGGGCAGGAUGUCCUCACUGAGAAAUGCAAUUUAGGAGCCCGACAGCUUGAAAACAGCUGGAAGGGUUUGGGACUUCCUGGGGAGAAAAAAAUCACCUUUGGCUCAAUGAGACGGGGAGGAUUUCAAGCCCACAGUGGAAGUUUUUGGAGAAGGUUGGGACUAAUGAGAAUGGAGGAUUACAGCUUCAACUGUUUUGCAAUCGUUGGCCUCGGUUCUUCAGACACUUUCACACAUGCUUAACUUUAUAUGUGUGGUUAGCUUUGCUGACCUGAAUGGGAUUAUUUACACGUGGUAGAUCUGAGCACAUGCGUAAAUGUUGACAGAGUGGCGUUCAGGGCGUAGCGUUUGUCACCAGAAAGGACACCGUGUCAAGGUCCUGACAUCCCACGGAGAUCCUCCCUGCUGGAAACAAACCCAAAAGCCGGGAAAUCCAGAUUCCUGAGUCCAGCUUAAAUCUGCUCUCAUGUGAAUGGGAUCUUUUGUUGUGCCACGUCAGGGCGCCGUGCCACCGAAUUGAUCUGGCAGCUGUUAAAACACUCACCUUUGUGCGUUCUGACUCUAUAGGAAGAUGCUGCGUGCCUGUAUGUGAAGGAUGCCAGGGCUGGGGGCUGGGAAAGGACACCUGGCCACUGGUGGGGUGUGAGGGGUUCCCUCCCUGGUGGUUCCCCUCCCUGAUAGAAGCAGAGCAUCACAAGUGUUUCCUGGAGCACAGGAGCACGUUCUACCUGCUGUGAUGUGAUCUGCUGAGAGCCUCCGAAACGCCCAUAAAUCACCUCUGCAAGCUGCGCCUCCAACAUUUAUCAGCUUGUGUCUGUCUGCAAGCCAAAGUGCCAUUAGGCUGACUCAUAUUUUGGCAUUUUGUGUUUGUAUACAACAGGACCAUGUUUGCAAGCAAUGGGGAAAAAAAAAAGAAAACACAAGGAAACCCUUCUUGGGCAGCACUGCGAUCCCUGCGGC
RNAcentral lists this long non-coding RNA (1923 nucleotides) under Gallus gallus (chicken). RNAcentral describes it as "lncRNA (ENSGALG00010019541.1)". The record is from RNAcentral. Lineage: Eukaryota; Metazoa; Chordata; Aves; Galliformes; Phasianidae.